This 458-nucleotide ribosomal RNA is filed under the name uncultured bacterium. RNAcentral describes it as "partial 16S ribosomal RNA". It matches the Rfam family "Bacterial small subunit ribosomal RNA", at positions 338 to 795 of the family's 1533-position model. The record is from RNAcentral.
CCUACGGGAGGCAGCAGAGGGGAAUAUUGCACAAUGGGGGAAACCCUGAUGCAGCGACGCCGCGUGAGUGAAGAAGUAAUUCGUUACGUAAAGCUCUAUCAGCAGGGAAGAAAUACUGACCUUACGGUCAGCAGACGGUACCUGAGUCAGACGCCCCGGCUAACUACGUGCCAGCAGCCGCGGUAAUACGUAGGGGGCAAGCGUUAUCCGGAUUUACUGGGUGUAAAGGGAGCGUAGACGGUGCGCCAAGUCUGGAGUGAAAUGCCGCAGCUUAACUGCGGAACUGCUUUGGAAACUGGCGAACUAGAGUGCGGGAGGGGUAAGCGGAAUUCCUAGUGUAGCGGUGAAAUGCGUAGAUAUUAGGAGGAACACCGGUGGCGAAGGCGGCUUACUGGACCGUAACUGACGUUGAGGCUCGAAAGCGUGGGGAGCAAACAGGAUUAGAUACCCCAGUAGUC